This 339-nucleotide unclassified non-coding RNA is filed under the name soil metagenome. RNAcentral's name for it is "partial contains 5.8S ribosomal RNA, internal transcribed spacer 2, and large subunit ribosomal RNA". The stretch from base 1 to 120 matches the Rfam family "5.8S ribosomal RNA", at positions 35 to 154 of the family's 154-position model. The record is from RNAcentral.
GAUGAAGAACGUAGCGAAAUGCGAUAACUAAUGUGAAUUGCAGAAUUCAGUGAAUCAUCGAGUCUUUGAACGCACAUUGCGCCCCCUGGUAUUCCGGGGGGCAUGCCUGUCCGAGCGUCAUUGCUGCCCUCAAGCGCGGCUUGUGUGUUGGGCUCCGUCCCCCCGGGGACGGGCCCGAAAGGCAGCGGCGGCACCGAGUCCGGUCCUCGAGCGUAUGGGGCUUUGUCACCCGCUCUGUAGGCCCGGCCGGCGCCAGCCGACAACCCAUCAUCCUUUUCAGGUUGACCUCGGAUCAGGUAGGGAUACCCGCUGAACUUAAGCAUAUCAAUAAGCGGAGGA